This is a small nucleolar RNA of Carya illinoinensis, 82 nucleotides long. RefSeq annotates it as small nucleolar RNA Z122. The transcript has a single exon. Lineage: Eukaryota; Viridiplantae; Streptophyta; Magnoliopsida; Fagales; Juglandaceae. The record is from RefSeq and is a predicted model, not a curated record.
UAUGGAAAAUGAUGCUAAUAAAAUGAGUGACUGAAGCAUUAGCUCUGCUGAAUGUUAAUUUGCACGUCAGUUUGAUCCCAAA